Molecule: ribosomal RNA, 248 nt
Filed under: uncultured bacterium
Lineage: Bacteria
Description: partial 16S ribosomal RNA
Rfam family: Bacterial small subunit ribosomal RNA
Source: RNAcentral
UACGAAGGGGCUAGCGUUGUCCGGAAUCAUUGGGCGUAAAGCGCGUGUAGGCGGCCCGGUAAGUCGGUUGUGAAAGUCGGGGGCUCAACCCUCGGAUGCCGAUCGAUACUGUCGGGCUAGAGUCCGGAAGAGGCGAGUGGAAUUCCUGGUGUAGCGGUGAAAUGCGUUGAGAUCGGAAGGAACGCCCGUGGCGAAAGCGAGCUCCUGGACGUUUUCUGACGCUGAGACGCGAAAGCCAGGGGAGCGAA